AUACGGAGGGUGCAAGCGUUAAUCGGAAUUACUGGGCGUAAAGCGCACGCAGGCGGUCUGUCAAGUCGGAUGUGAAAUCCCCGGGCUCAACCUGGGAACUGCAUUCGAAACUGGCAGGCUAGAGUCUUGUAGAGGGGGGUAGAAUUCCAGGUGUAGCGGUGAAAUGCGUAGAGAUCUGGAGGAAUACCGGUGGCGAAGGCGGCCCCCUGGACAAAGACUGACGCUCAGGUGAGAAAGCGUGGGGAGCAAACAGGAUUAGAUACCCUGGUAGUCCACGCCGUAAACGAUGUCGACUUGGAGGUUGUGCCCUUGAGGCGUGGCUUCCGGAGCUAACGCGUUAAGUCGACCGCCUGGGGAGUACGGCCGCAAGGUUAAAACUCAAAUGAAUUGACGGGG
This 396-nucleotide ribosomal RNA is filed under the name uncultured bacterium. RNAcentral describes it as "partial 16S ribosomal RNA". It matches the Rfam family "Bacterial small subunit ribosomal RNA", at positions 523 to 918 of the family's 1533-position model. The record is from RNAcentral.